GCGUCGGUAGUGCAACGGUUAGCAUACGCUCCCGGAAAGAACAAGAUCUGGGUUGAAUCCCGGCUGACGCA
Non-coding RNA from Parelaphostrongylus tenuis, 71 nucleotides. The record is from the annotation of a GenBank genome assembly. Lineage: Eukaryota; Metazoa; Nematoda; Chromadorea; Rhabditida; Metastrongylidae.